UUUGAAUCCAUAUUGGAGAAGUCAGCAGCAGAAAAAUCUGCAUUUGAUGUCCCAUUUGAGUUGAUAGAACUUCAAAAGUUUGACUAUGCAUUGGAAGGGGUUUCAUUUCAGCAGCUAAUUCGGAUGCCCAAUGCUAUGUAUGGUUCAACGUCUGAUGCUGUGGAAGCAACUGCUUAUCUUGCUAUUGAAGAUUUUCUACAUGCAAGUGUGAAGGGUCUGUGGGAAGCAUUUUGGAGUGAGGAUGAUCCCAUGCCUUUCUCCAUUGCCUGUCUAUACAAUGCAAACUUAAAAUUCUACCAGGNAUAGCUAAUGGAAAGCUUGGAGGACUUUGUGCUACUGGUAUAUUGCUGAACAACCCUAGAC
Molecule: unclassified non-coding RNA, 363 nt
Filed under: Hevea brasiliensis (rubber tree)
Lineage: Eukaryota; Viridiplantae; Streptophyta; Magnoliopsida; Malpighiales; Euphorbiaceae
Source: RNAcentral